This 468-nucleotide ribosomal RNA is filed under the name uncultured bacterium. RNAcentral's name for it is "partial 16S ribosomal RNA". It matches the Rfam family "Bacterial small subunit ribosomal RNA", at positions 28 to 507 of the family's 1533-position model. The record is from RNAcentral.
GACGAACGCUGGCGGCGUGCUUAACACAUGCAAGUCGAACGGAAAGGCCCUGCUUUUGUGGGGUGCUCGAGUGGCGAACGGGUGAGUAACACGUGAGUAACCUGCCCUUGACUUUGGGAUAACUUCAGGAAACUGUGGCUAAUACCGGAUAUGAGCUCCUGCUGCAUGGUGGGGGUUGGAAAGUUUCGGCGGUUGGGGGUGGACUCGAGGCUUAUCAGCUUGUUGGUGGGGUAGUGGCUUACCAAGGCUUUGACGGGUAGCCGGCCUGAGAGGGUGACCGGCCACUUUGGGACUGAGAUACGGCCCAGACGCCUACGGGAGGCAGAAGUGGGGAAUAUUGCACAAUGGGCGGAAGCCUGAUGCAGCAGCGCCGCGUGCGGGAUGACGGCCUUCGGGUUGUAAACCGCUUUCGCCGGGGACGAAGCGUGAGUGACGGUAAUGGGUAAAGAAGCACCGGCUAACUACGUG